GGUGAACGCUGGCGGCAUGUCUAAGGCAUGCAAGUCUAGGGGUCGUAUCUCACUUCGUUCGAUACUUCCAGUUGAUAGUUAUAAGUUGAAAGUUGAUAGUAUCACUACUUACAACUGACAACUUUAAUCUUACAACUGGAGCAUCGAGCACGGCGAGAUGCGACCCCGGCAAACGGGUGCGUAACACAUUGGUAAUCUGCCUCCAUCUCGGGCAUAACCCAGGGAAACUUGGGACAAUUCCCGAUAGUCAUGAGGGGUCGCAAGACAUUCUCAUGUAAAGAUCCGUCGGAUGGAGAGGAGCCUAUGGCCCAUCAGCUAGUUGGUAGGUAAAGCCUACCAAGGCUAUGACGGGUAGCGGGUGUGAGAGCACGACCCGCCUCAC
RNAcentral lists this ribosomal RNA (382 nucleotides) under uncultured bacterium. Its description in RNAcentral is "bacterial SSU rRNA". It matches the Rfam family "Bacterial small subunit ribosomal RNA", at positions 28 to 313 of the family's 1533-position model. The record is from RNAcentral.